AACGAACGCUGGCGGCAUGCCUAACACAUGCAAGUCGAACGAGACCUUCGGGUCUAGUGGCGCACGGGUGCGUAACGCGUGGGAACCUGCCCUUAGGUUCGGAAUAACUCCCCGAAAGGGGUGCUGAUACCGGAUAAUGUCUUCGGACCAAAGAUUUAUCGCCUUUGGAUGGGCCCGCGUUGGAUUAGCUAGUUGGUAGGGUAAAAGCCUACCAAGGCGACGAUCCAUAGCUGGUCUGAGAGGAUGAUCAGCCACACUGGGACUGAGACACGGCCCAGACUCCUACGGGAGGCAGCAGUGGGGAAUAUUGGACAAUGGGCGAAAGCCUGAUCCAGCAAUGCCGCGUGAGCGAUGAAGGCCUUAGGGUUGUAAAGCUCUUUUACCCGGGAUGAUAAUGACAGUACCGGGAGAAUAAGCUCCGGCUAACUCCGUG
This 433-nucleotide ribosomal RNA is filed under the name uncultured bacterium. RNAcentral describes it as "partial 16S ribosomal RNA". It matches the Rfam family "Bacterial small subunit ribosomal RNA", at positions 29 to 507 of the family's 1533-position model. The record is from RNAcentral.